UACAGAGGGUGCGAGCGUUGCCCGGAAUCACUGGGCGUAAAGGGCGCGUAGGUGGUGACCUAAGCGUGCGGUGAAAGCCCGAGGCUCAACCUCGGGUCGGCCGUGCGAACUGGGUCACUGGAGCAGAAUAGAGGCAGGUGGAAUUCCGGGUGUAGCGGUGGAAUGCGUAGAGAUCCGGAAGAACACCGGUGGCGAAGGCGGGUCUCUGGGCAGUAACUGACGCUGAGGAGCGAAAGCGUGGGGAGCGAACAGG
This 253-nucleotide ribosomal RNA is filed under the name uncultured bacterium. RNAcentral's name for it is "partial 16S ribosomal RNA". It matches the Rfam family "Bacterial small subunit ribosomal RNA", at positions 524 to 776 of the family's 1533-position model. The record is from RNAcentral.